CUAUACAACCUACUGUCUUUC
This 21-nucleotide microRNA is filed under the name Lepisosteus oculatus (spotted gar). RNAcentral's name for it is "Loc-Let-7-P2a1_3p* (star (passenger))". The record is from RNAcentral. Lineage: Eukaryota; Metazoa; Chordata; Actinopteri; Semionotiformes; Lepisosteidae. RNAcentral also lists the same sequence under 3 other names.